GACAGAGGAGGCAAGCGUUGUUCGGAAUCACUGGGCUUAAAGCGGGUGCAGGCGGCUCCGAAAGUGUUUUGUGAAAGCCCCCGGCUCAACCGGGGAAUUGCAGGGCAAACUACGGGGCUUGAGGUCGGUAGAGGUGCCUGGAACUCUAGGUGGAGCGGUGAAAUGCGUAGAUAUCUAGAGGAACGCCUGAGGCGAAAGCGGGGCACUGGGCCGAUUCUGACGCUGAGACCCGAAAGCGUGGGGAGCAAACAGG
This 253-nucleotide ribosomal RNA is filed under the name uncultured prokaryote. RNAcentral's name for it is "partial 16S ribosomal RNA". It matches the Rfam family "Bacterial small subunit ribosomal RNA", at positions 524 to 776 of the family's 1533-position model. The record is from RNAcentral.